UACGAAGGGUGCAAACGUUGCUCGGAAUUAUUGGGCGUAAAGCGCACGUAGGCGGCUUUGCAAGUCGGAUGUGAAAUCCCUCGGCUUAACCAAGGAAGUGCAUCCGAAACUGCAGAGCUUGAGUACUUAAGAGGAUCGCGGAAUUCCCGGUGUAGGGGUGAAAUUCGUAGAUAUCGGGAGGAACACCAGUGGCGAAGGCGGCGAUCUGGGAAGAUACUGACGCUGAGGAGCGAAAGCGUGGGGAGCGAACAGG
RNAcentral lists this ribosomal RNA (253 nucleotides) under uncultured bacterium. Its description in RNAcentral is "partial 16S ribosomal RNA". It matches the Rfam family "Bacterial small subunit ribosomal RNA", at positions 524 to 776 of the family's 1533-position model. The record is from RNAcentral.